Molecule: long non-coding RNA, 1026 nt
Filed under: Malus domestica (apple)
Lineage: Eukaryota; Viridiplantae; Streptophyta; Magnoliopsida; Rosales; Rosaceae
Description: long non-coding RNA (MDOM_LNC003989)
Source: RNAcentral
AGCCUUGUCUAUGGAUUUACAAUAUUUGAACCAUUCAUUUCAUUAUAUUCAAGUGUGCAAACUGUACAAUUUUUUCCAAAAAUUAAUUAAAAGGAAAAAGUUAAGUACCGUUUACGAUGAUUUACUUGAGUUUAUGCCAAAUCGUAUUUAAUAAUAGUUGAAGAGUUGAUAUCACUGCCAAAAUUAGCAACAUAGGGGUUUUUUUUGGGAAAUGAGAGAGAAAUGAAAAGGAAAAGUGAAAAAGCAAGGGAACUUGAUUUGACAAAAAUACCCUGAACUUAACGGAAUUUUUUAACGGAAUGACCAAAUUGAUGGAUGGUGGACAAUCUCAGGAACCACUUUUAUCGAUUUGAAAUCUUAGGGACCAAAGUGAGGAGUUAUGCAAAUCUCAGGGACCAUUUUGGCUAAAAAGCCUAGUUUUUACUUUAGUUGGAAACCAUUUUUUUCAAAAUUUUAUAAUAUUAUAAUUUUGGAGGUUUAUUUGUUCAUCUCAUUCUGCAUUUCAUUGGAAAUUCAAUGAUUGAUAUUCAUCCUAUGAUUUUGAAGGUUUAAAUAAUGUCCACAUGGGAUGAUAUUUUCUUACAGAUUCCUUGAUUUGUUGUCAAGUAUUGUCUCCCAUUCCUUCCAAAACACACGCGCACACGCACGUAUUUAGAGAGAGGGAGAGAGAAGCCAGAAGAAGAAGCCAGAGAAUCAUUUGAAACAUUUCGAAUGAAAGGUGGAGAUGGCCCAAACAAUAAUGCCAAGAACUCAACGUUCCAGGUUCUCGUACAGAAUCCAUUCUUCGAAAUAUCGACAAUAGUCAUCUUAUAGAGAUUAGAUUACAUGCACCUAGUUCGACUCGUUUUUUUUUUUUUUAAUCCUUGAUCUGAAAGAUAUAUUCUAAAAUCAUAACAAUAAGACAUUAGCAUCACAAAUAUAAUGCGAAUUAAUAUAAAAUAGAAUUGAACUACUUAUAUUAAACUUAUAUGCAGACUACGAAAGACAUAACUCCUGCGAAUGACAAAAAAAAUUGGUGUAUGCAUA